This 837-nucleotide ribosomal RNA is filed under the name Astrosphaeriella vesuvius. RNAcentral describes it as "eukaryotic LSU rRNA". The stretch from base 480 to 633 matches the Rfam family "5.8S ribosomal RNA". Lineage: Eukaryota; Fungi; Ascomycota; Dothideomycetes; Pleosporales; Astrosphaeriellaceae. RNAcentral also lists the same sequence under 1 other name. The record is from RNAcentral.
AUCGAGGUGGGCGGGCUGUUCGAGCUCCUGUCGCACGUGAAGGUGCCUGGAGGGCUACCCGCGAGAAGUCGCGCCCAAACCGCAGUGGAGAGCGGUCGGCCCUGGUGGCUGGCGAGUCUCGAAGCUGGUGUGUCGGUCAAAAUCCAUGUGGACGGGGCAUAGAUAGCUAACCCCAGUGGUCGCCCGCUUCUUAAACGUGUUGCGGCAUACUACGGGACGCUUUGCCUUCGAGAGGUCAGCUGCGCACCGCCCUGCCAUGCAGGGAUGCAUCGCCAUCUAGGUGUUGCUCAGUUUGCCACACCCUCGCUGCUGGUAGCGUUCGGCAGGUUCUGCUUCCCGUCACCCCCUCGAAUCCAAAAAAACACCCACCCUUGAGCAUGAGCACCCAUCCGUUUCCUCGGCAGGCCAGCCUGCCGGUGGACACCCCAAUAAAACCUCCUGUCAUCAGCAGUGUCGGUCUGAGAACUAUAAAAUAUCAAAACUUUCAACAACGGAUCUCUUGGUUCUGGCAUCGAUGAAGAACGCAGCGAAAUGCGAUAAGUAGUGUGAAUUGCAGAAUUCAGUGAAUCAUCGAAUCUUUGAACGCACAUUGCGCCCUCUGGUAUUCCGGAGGGCAUGCCUGUUCGAGCGUCAUUUCGACCCUCAAGCUCUGCUUGGUGUUGGGCGCCUUGUCCCCCCAUGACCCGGGGACUCGCCUCAAAAUCAUCGGCGCCGGUGGUCCGGUCUGGAGCGCAGCAGAUCGCUGCUCCUGUACCUGCAGCCCGCUGGCUUCCGCAAGCUGCGAAGUCUACGCUGAAACUUGACCUCGGAUCAGGCAGGGAUACCCGCUGAACUUAA